RNAcentral lists this ribosomal RNA (771 nucleotides) under Harringtonia lauricola. RNAcentral's name for it is "Raffaelea lauricola partial large subunit ribosomal RNA". It matches the Rfam family "Eukaryotic large subunit ribosomal RNA", at positions 115 to 909 of the family's 3401-position model. The record is from RNAcentral. Lineage: Eukaryota; Fungi; Ascomycota; Sordariomycetes; Ophiostomatales; Ophiostomataceae.
UUGAAAUCUGGCCCCCCGCGGGCCCGAGUUGUACUUUGGAGAGGACGCUUCUGGCGCGGCGCCGUCCGAGUUCCCUGGAACGGGACGCCGGAGAGGGUGAGAGCCCCGUACGGGCGGCCGCCUAGCCUCUGCGAAGCUCCUUCGACGAGUCGAGUAGUUUGGGAAUGCUGCUCAAAAUGGGAGGUAAAUUUCUUCUAAAGCUAAAUACCGGCCAGAGACCGAUAGCGCACAAGUAGAGUGAUCGAAAGAUGAAAAGCACUUUGAAAAGAGGGUCAAACAGUACGUGAAAUUGUUGAAAGGGAAGCGCCUGUGGCCAGACUUGCGCCCCGCGGACCACCCGGCGCCUCGCGCGCCGGGGCACGCCAGCGGGGCGCAGGCCAGCAUCGGCUCUCUCGGGGGGACAAAGGCCGCGGGAACGUAGCGCCCUCGCGGCGUAUUAUAGCCCGCGGCGCCAUGCCCCCGGGGGGGCCGAGGACCGCGCUCCGGCAAGGAUGCUGGCGUAAUGGCCACCGGCGACCCGUCUUGAAACACGGACCAAGGAGUCAAGCAUUGGGGCGAGUGUCUGGGUGGCAAGCCCGCACGCGGAAUGAAAGUGAACGCAGGUGGGAGCUUCGGCGCACCACCGACCGAUCCUGAUGUCCUCGGAUGGAUUUGAGUAGGAGCCCCGCCGCUUGGACCCGAAAGAUGGUGAACUAUGCCUGUAUAGGGUGAAGCCAGAGGAAACUCUGGUGGAGGCCCGCAGCGGUUCUGACGUGCAAAUCGAUCGUCAAA